Molecule: small RNA, 691 nt
Filed under: Arabidopsis thaliana (thale cress)
Lineage: Eukaryota; Viridiplantae; Streptophyta; Magnoliopsida; Brassicales; Brassicaceae
Description: ATSL181410
Source: RNAcentral
GAUGGAAAUCCACGAAAUGCCACAUUGCCAUCCCAUAUUGUUAAUGCACGAAUUAAACAAGUACGGGUGAGUCUCAAGGGAAGGUGAAGAAUCAAUCUCUAAUUCACGAGCUGAACUCGAAGCUGGACAAUCGACGGGCUGAAGGGCUUAUGGCGAACUGAGAACGUAGUCGGUUGAGGGCGCUACGAGGCGAUGCCGUUUCGAGCUGGUGGUUCUGGCGAGCUGGCUCUUCUUGCUAAGUUGGCUUGUCUUGACGGGAUGUCUUCUCUCUACGAGCUGACUUGUAUCGAUGAGCGGACUUGUCCUGACGAGCUGAAUUGUCUUGACGAGCUGACUUGUCUUGACGAGCUGACUUGUCUUGUCCUUUCUCCAGGUCUCCCAAAAAAAAUGUCCUUUCCCGAGACUUUCUAUUCCUUAUUUAUACCCGUCCGUGUAGUAGGGUACGCAAGGUGAAUUCCCGAGAGUGCCCUUUUCUGCGCAGCCGAACUCACAUCUCGACCAGGCCGGGUUUCGGCCCGGCGGGCCGGCUCGAGUUCUAAAGUGAUGGUCGGGGCUGGGUCGAUAUUCCUUGAAAUGGGCCGGUUGAUCACUGAGGCCCAAUUGAUGUAUCAACACAUAUCUAAGAUUAUUCAACUUCAUGUGAAUGAGCAAGCACCUUUUUUCUGUUUUAUUAGACUUAGACAUUUUUAAU